Molecule: ribosomal RNA, 468 nt
Filed under: uncultured bacterium
Lineage: Bacteria
Description: partial 16S ribosomal RNA
Rfam family: Bacterial small subunit ribosomal RNA
Source: RNAcentral
GACGAACGCUGGCGGCGUGCUUAACACAUGCAAGUCGAACGGAAAGGCCCUGCUUUUGUGGGGUGCUCGAGUGGCGAACGGGUGAGUAACCCGUGAGUCACCUGCCCUUGACUUUGGGAUAACUUCAGGAAACUGGGGCUAAUACCGGAUAGGAGCUCCUGCUGCAUGGUGGGGGUUGGAACGUUUCGGCGGUUGGGGAUGGACUCGCGGCUUAUGAGCUUGUUGGUGGGGGAGUGGCUUACCAAGGCUUUGACGGGUAGCCGGCCUGGGAGGGGGGACGGGGACAAUAGUCCUGAGAGACGGACCAGACUCCAACGGGAGGCAGCAGUGGGGAACCUGGUACAAUGGUCGGAAGUCUGAUGCAGCAACGCCGGGAUCGGGAAGACGGCCUUGGGGGUGUAAACCGCAUUAGCUUGUGACGAUGCGGGAGUGACGUUAAUGGGAAAAGAAGCACCGGCUAACUACGUG